ACACGUGCCGUGGGGGAGAUUCUUGGGGUUUUGGGGUUUGGUGUUGGGGUUCCGUUUUUUUACUAACUUCAGUACUAUCUUACGAGGCACAGAUCAGCUGCAUUCCUAUCAUGUAUCAGGAUCGCGGAGAGACACAAAGCUGCACCUUUAAGCGGAGAUUAUUUUGAAGGCAUCAUAAAAAAAAAACUAAAAACAAAGCGAACACCGGCAGAUGAAGGAUUUUUGUAAAAAGCAUCCUUCCCUAAUGCUGGGAAAAAUAACUUUAUUUUAUUUUUUACAAUCUGCAUAUACUUGUAAUUGAGAUGCAGAACCAGACUCCUCCUCCCGCCGCUCCGGUAGCGACGAGCAGGACGGGCCCAGGAAAACCCCCCCCAGGCCCAAGGAAGCCGCUCCGUCCCCGGCCGCCGCCGCGACCCCGGGGCCGGGCCCCUCUCCCGCCCCGCCGCUGCUUCCCAAUAAAACUCGUUCACUCCCUUCCCGGAACGGCCUCUCUCCGCCCGCGUUCCCGGGGGGGAUCGGGGAGCGAGCAGGCCCGGCUGGGAGCCGGCGUGGUGGAGGAGGACACCGAGGAGUGGCAGAGAGAUCCCGGUUUCGCCGGACUGGAGAGAGUGGGAGGCGUGGAUUUAUCGUACAUCAAAGGAGACGACAGCAGCGCCUGCGCCUCCCUGGUGGUGCUCAGCUACCCGGCCCUGGAGGUGCUGUACGAGGACUGCCGGAUGGUGACGGUGAGCGCCCCGUACGUGGCAGGAUUCUUAGCCUUCCGAGAAGUCCCUUUCCUGGUGGAAGCUGUUCAGAGACUUCAGCAGGAGGAGCCCAGGCUCAGACCCCAGGUACUCCUCGUAGAUGGGAAUGGCCUGCUCCAUCCCAGAGGAUUUGGUGUGGCCUGUCACCUUGGUGUCCUGACGGAUCUGCCAUGCAUUGGAGUGGCCAAGAACCUCCUGCAGGUGGAUGGCUUGGUCAGGGAUGAGCUGCACAGAGAGCAGAUUCGUUCCCUGCAGAGGGAAGGAGAUACAUUCCCACUGACAGGCACUUCUGGGCGAGCCCUGGGCAUGGCCCUGCGUAGCAACAACAACAGCUCUAAGCCGCUUUAUAUCUCUGUGGGUCACAGGGUGUGCCUGGAGACAGCCGUGCGUCUAGUCAAGUCCUGCUGCAGGUACCGGAUCCCGGAGCCCAUCCGUCAGCUCGCAGAAUCGUUAAGCAGUUGUGGAGCUGCGUUUCCAGCCGGCAGAGCCUCCACCCGAGACAUCUGACUAGGGAUGGAGGGCGGUGGGGAGCUUCUUGAGGUACGGGAGAGGCUCUUCAGAAGCAGCCCAGCGAUGAGAGCGGCAAGUGCUUCAAGGACAGCCACUGGGGAUGCGUUAACCCACUUUAUUAGCAUGAUCAUCAUGUGCUGCGAAGCUUUUCCAGCUGGGAAGGUCACAUACUGCUUUUUAAGUGGAGAGAGACACUCUGCCUUUGAGGUGGGGCACAGCAGCUGUUCCAAAAUGUCACAGCAAAGCAGUGUUUUUGAGAAAGGAAGUUUCUAAAAGAGAAAAAAACUUGGAGGGAAUGUAAAAAUCAACUCCCAGUUCUCGAAGGUGCUCAAGAGCCCAGGAUCUGCAUGCUUAUGAUACCAUCCAAGAGUCUUCUGCACUGUAAAGCUGAACAGUAACACUUCUGGGGGGCAAGAACAUCCAGUAAAUGCCCAGCAACGCUUUCUGUAGCUCUUGAGAUUUCCGUUUUGGUGUUCUCCUUGCCCCACUCUGACCACAUGCUGUCCUGCACUGCUGAUAAGACACCACAAUCUGGUUUUCUUGGUGAGCGCAGGAGGGCUCAUGUCCCAGGAGACUGUAUCAGAAGAGGCAGGAACGGGACACUUGCAUGAGGGUGGGUUUGAUGAGGUUUGGUGAUGGCUCCGAGAUCAAUUCCAAAUGAGAAGGGCAGUGCACUGUGAUUUUGGUAGCCUCAACAUUACUCCUUUUGAUUUUGGUACUGGAAAGCAGAGCCCAGAGCAUGGAUACGGCCCGGCGUGUAAAGUGCUCCCGCUGUCUUCCUUGGCAGCUUUGCCUUUGGACUCGUGAGGCAGGACAGUGCGAAGGGUGUGUCAGUCACUUGCCUUGCAACGGCUGCCAAGAAGCGAUAGAGCCAAGGAUGUGCUUGCGUCUUGUCUCUGCUUUUAGCGGGUGUUUUUACCUGCUUUAGCUGUAUAGUCACCAUCGCGCAGCCAGCACGCAUAGGCAGGAUGAGCCAAGCUCUUGCCUAGGGAAAAGGAUGUGCAGCAGACGAGUGGUGUGCUUCUCCAUCUGUUGCUGCACCAUACAGCUGCUGGAACAGAGGAAGGAAAGGGAUGGGUACAAGAACAGGCAAUGCCAGCUUCUCUCUUUUCAUCCCAUGUCCUGUUGAGGAGUCGCCCGCUGGAUUGCUGUAUUCCCAAAGUCUUCACAGCCCUCUCCGUAGUCCCGUUUUCCCUCUCGAUUUACAGUUUCCUGUGGAGGGCAGAGUCCCAGGUCUCAGCUAAUAGUGACCAGAAAAGCUCAUCCUCUGGGAACAUUGCAGUGUCACAUCUAUAAAGAUGAUCGUGGAGCGCUGUGAGCCUGGAGGCUGCAGCCCCGCACCUGCUUGCGGUGCCAGUGGGGUCCCUGUCAGCGCAGUGCUGGGACACAGCUCUGUUCCACUGAGUGUGCAGUGCAGGUUAUUGCAGCAGAGUCCAUGGGGCAUUCUGCUGCCCUGGGAUCAGUCAAUAAAAAGCUCCAGUAUUUCCUCACCUUUUGAGGAGGGAUCUAUGAGCCACUGUCCCAUGCUAAAUUGCUUUGCAAUGCUGCAGAAACCUGCCUUCGCAUCCGUAUGGUUUUGGCUCUCCGACAACUUUCUGGGUGCCAGGGGACACACUUCAGCGUAGGCUGAAGGUUUUCGAUAGCUUUGAGCAGAAGGGGUGAAGAAGGACCAAAGAAAUAGAAGAGCGGGCAGAGCCCUGGGCUGAAGGGGAGUCAUUCUUUUUGAGCUUCUUUAUCUGUGAGCAUUUUGCUGACACACAGGAACCCCUGAGCACUAUGGAGACCUGCAUGUGAUCGCAGCGUGCGAUCCCUUCACAGAGCGAGGGUGGCGGAGCGGCUUCUGUUGCUUCAGUGGGAGCACUGGUUUGCUUUUUGGAACAUCUCCUGUUGAGGGAAGGAAGACUUACCCUGCUCUCAAGUUUCUAACAAGUCUGUUCCAUCUCUCAUCGGUUAGUGAUGAGCUAUUGCCGGGGAAGGCCUGUGAAGCAGCUUAGCUGCUCGUUACAUUUUCCUACAUUGCCUUUGGAGGUGCCUACCUGUGGAAGAAGUCAUUUGGGUCGGUUCGAAGGACAAAAGCACUAGACCACUCUCAGGCUCCCAGGACUCCUCCAGUCCAGCUCUGCUGCCGGGGUUCACCAGAGAGGGGUUGCAGUUCUGGCGGAGAGAUAAGGCACAAUGGGAAAGCAGCCCAUCACCUCAGCAGCUCUCCCUUUGCCAGUGAACACCUUACAAAGCCUCUGGAAAUCCUCGCUGGCCUGUCACAUCCCUGGACAACGAGGAGGACAUCUUAGGAGCCAUUCAGUGUAGGGAUAAGGUGAGGGAUGCCAGCUGGGUCAGUGCUUGCUGCAGGAAGGCUCACUGCGCUGCAGUGUGGGCGGGAAGGCUGUGCUCCUUCAUCCUCUGGGUCCCGUAGGGACCCUUGGUGAAGGCUGGUGACACUCAGCUGCAGCCGGGAUUUGCUGAGGAAGCCCAGUCUGGGUCCCACUUUGGCUGUUCAUCCCGCCGUGCUCGGGGUAGGUCGGGGCUGAGCAGACAUUAGGCACCAGCUGGCAGGACCUGCCUGUGCCCCGUGUCUCACCUCCCUACUCCUGUGAGAAGUAAAGGGGCAGACAGCAAGGGUUCAGCGAAUGUUGUUUCUGCCUCCGAAAUGGACUGUACUCCAGGAUCCUCUAUUUCAUUUUAAGUCUUCAUUCUCACAAGCAGCUUGCAGUGAGGCACAGAAACCGAACAGGGAAAGAAACAUGCAGGUUCCUCUGCAACGGAGUCAUACAAAAGCUAUUUGUGAUGUACUGACAUCAGGGUGCGCAGGGGCCUACUGAGAGAACAAAGGGGAGGCACCAAGCAGGCUGCUCAGUCCAUUUUCACUCAUUUUCCUCCUUAAUUCCAGGCUGAUAUUAGAUCGAGGGAGUAUAUUCGGAAGCAGCUGUGUUCACCACUGGAGGUCACGUCUUCUGGGCCGGAGAGUGGAAAAAAGGAGGCUGAACUGGAUGGUUAGUCUGAUGCCAGAAGAAACUGCGGGGCUCCUCUUGACUGGAUCCUCUCCUCCACCACGACGGUGGUUCUGUCGAGUGCGACAGCCGAGAGCCACCCCAGGGAGAGCAGCGCAAGGCCGUGUCAGUCAGGACAACGCCAGCCGCCCUGCGUGGUCCUGGUGGGCCGGCAGAGCUGCUUCUGUGCAAGGAUAAUGUUUAGGGCGUAUUUCUCAGGGUUGAUUUUUAAGCAUUAUAAAAAUAUUUGUGUAAGCAAAGGCA
This is an RNA transcript of Chroicocephalus ridibundus (black-headed gull), 4504 nucleotides long. It is a transcript of the gene named endonuclease V, with no coding region annotated. The transcript is spliced from 9 exons. The record is from RefSeq and is a predicted model, not a curated record. NCBI's taxonomy places the organism in Eukaryota, Metazoa, Chordata, Aves, Charadriiformes, Laridae.